This 253-nucleotide ribosomal RNA is filed under the name uncultured bacterium. RNAcentral's name for it is "partial 16S ribosomal RNA". It matches the Rfam family "Bacterial small subunit ribosomal RNA", at positions 524 to 776 of the family's 1533-position model. The record is from RNAcentral.
UACGUAUGGUGCAAGCGUUAUCCGGAUUUACUGGGUGUAAAGGGAGCGCAGGCGGCACGGCAAGCCUGAUGUGAAAGCCCGCGGCCCAACCGCGGGACUGCAUUGGGAACUACCGGGCUGGAGUGCCGGAGAGGUAGGCGGAAUUCCUAGUGUAGCGGUGAAAUGCGUAGAUAUUAGGAGGAACACCAGUGGCGAAGGCGGCCUACUGGACGGUGACUGACGCUGAGGCUCGAAGGCGUAGGGAGCAAACAGG